RNAcentral lists this ribosomal RNA (461 nucleotides) under uncultured bacterium. RNAcentral's name for it is "partial 16S ribosomal RNA". It matches the Rfam family "Bacterial small subunit ribosomal RNA", at positions 338 to 795 of the family's 1533-position model. The record is from RNAcentral.
CCUACGGGUGGCUGCAGUGAGGAAUAUUGGUCAAUGGACGAGAGUCUGAACCAGCCAAGUAGCGUGAAGGAUGACUGCCCUAUGGGUUGUAAACUUCUUUUAUAUGGGACUACCAUGUUCCACGUGUGGGAUUUUGUAUGUACCAUAUGAAUAAGGAUCGGCUAACUCCGUGCCAGCAGCCGCGGUAAUCCGGCGGAUCCGCGCGUUAUCCGGAUUUAUUGGGUUUAAAGGGAGCGUAGGUGGAUUGUUAAGUCAGUUGUGAACGUUUGCGGCUCAACCGUAAAAAUGCAGGGGAAACUUGAAGUAGUGAGUAAAGUAGAGGUGGGCGGAAUGGGGGGUGGAGCGGGGAAAUGCUUAGAGAUCAAGAAGAACUCCGAUGGCGAAGGCAGCUCAAUGGACUGCAAAUGACACUGAGGCUCGAAAGUGUGGGUAUCAAACAGGAGUAGAUACACCGAGGAGGC